This 1367-nucleotide ribosomal RNA is filed under the name metagenome. RNAcentral's name for it is "SSU rRNA". It matches the Rfam family "Eukaryotic small subunit ribosomal RNA", at positions 6 to 1296 of the family's 1831-position model. The record is from RNAcentral.
GGUUGAUCCUGCCAGUAGUCAUAUGCUUGUCUCAAAGACUAAGCCAUGCAUGUCCAAGUAUAAACAACUUUGUACUGUGAAACUGCAGAUGGCUCAUUAAACCAGUUAUCAUUCAUUUGAAAAUCACUUUUACUACAUGGAUACCCGUAGUAAUUCUAGAGCUAAUACAUGCGUAAAGUCCCAACUCUUGCGGGGAGGGAUGUAUUUAUUAGAUAAAAAGCCAAUAAAAGGUUUCGGCCUUUUUCUCUUGGUGAUUCAUAAUAACUAGUCGAAUCGAAUGGCCUUGUGCCGUCGAUGGUUCAUUCAAAUUUCUGCCCUAUCAGCUUUCGAUGGUAGUGUAGUGGACUACCAUGGCACUAACGGGUGACGGAGAAUUAGGGUUCGAUUCCGGAGAGGGAGCCUGAGAAACGGCUACCACAUCUAAGGAGGGCAGCAGGCGUAAAUUACCCAAUCCUGACACAGGGAGGUAGUGACAAGAAAUAACGAGAGCUCAGAAUUUUUUCUAAGCUCAUCGGAAUGACAGAAAUUUAAAUCCCUCAUGGAUUAUCAAGUGGAGGGCAAGUCUGGUGCCAGCAGCCGCGGUAAUUCCAGCUCCACUAGCGUAUACUAAAGUUGUUGCAGUUAAAAAGCUCGUAGUUGGAUUUCUGACAUUUUUUAUGUUCCCGGUCGUCUAUUUACGUUCUUCUCUUUUAAGAGUCGAAAAAGCUAAAAGAUUGGUACUGGCGAACGUGUGUCAUCCUUCCGCUGUCUGUCGUGAUUUCUUUUAUUAGAUUUUUUCGGCAAGGCGCGGAUCGUUUACUUUGAAAAAAUUAGAGUGUUUAAAGCAGUUUCGUAUGAAACAUUGAAUCUCGCAGCAUGGAAUAAUAAGAUAGGACUUUGGUUCUAUUUUGUUGGCUUUCAGGACCAAAGUAAUGAUUGAUAGGGAUCGUUUGGGAGUGCUUCUACUCUAGCGCCAGCGGUGAAAUGCUUGGAUUGCUGGAAGAGAAACUCAUGCGAAAGCAUUCACUAAGGAGAUUUUCUUUAAUCAAGAACGAAAGUUGAAGGAGCGAAGAGGAUCAGAUACCCUCGUAGUUUCAACCAUAAACUAUGCCGACUAGGGAUCAGUGGACGUCGUUAGAUCAAGAGCGAUCUUGAUCAUUUUUUUGACUCCAUUGGCACCUUGUGAGAAAUCAAAGUCUUUGGGUUCUGGGGGGAGUAUGGUCGCAAGGCUGAAACUUAAAGGAAUUGACGGAAGGGCACCACCAGGCGUGGAGUUUGCGGCUUAAUUUGACCCAACACGGGAAAACUUACCAGGUCCAGACAUAGUAAGGAUUGACAGAUUGAAGAUCUUUCUUGAUUCUAUGGUUGGUGGUGCAUGGCCGUUCUUA